RNAcentral lists this ribosomal RNA (250 nucleotides) under uncultured bacterium. RNAcentral's name for it is "partial 16S ribosomal RNA". It matches the Rfam family "Bacterial small subunit ribosomal RNA", at positions 524 to 773 of the family's 1533-position model. The record is from RNAcentral.
UACGGAGGGUGCAAGCGUUGUUCGGAAUUACUGGGCGUAAAGGGCGCGUAGGUGGUUCGGUAUGUCAGAUGUGAAAUCCCGAGGCUCAACCUCGGAACGGCAUCUGAAACUGCCGGACUGGAGUACAGAAGAGGGAAACGGAAUUCCCGGUGUAGAGGUGAAAUUCGUAGAUAUCGGGAGGAACACCGGUGGCGAAGGCGGUUUCCUGGUCUGAUACUGACACUGAGGCGCGAAAGCGUGGGGAGCAAAC